AACGAACGCUAGCGGCGUGCCUAACACAUGCAAGUCGAGCGAGAAAGGGCUUCGGCCUCAGUAAAGCGGCGCACGGGUGAGUAACACGUGGGUAACGUACCCUCGGGUGGGGAAUAACGGGCCGAAAGGCUCGCUAAUACCGCAUAAGCCCUGAGGGGGAAAGUGGGGGACCGCAAGGCCUCACGCGAAUGGAGCGGCCGAUGUCAGAUUAGCUAGUUGGUGGGGUAAAGGCCCACCAAGGCGACGAUCUGUAGCGGGUCUGAGAGGAUGAUCCGCCACACUGGGACUGAGACACGGCCCAGACUCCUACGGGAGGCAGCAGUGGGGAAUUUUGGACAAUGGGCGCAAGCCUGAUCCAGCCAUGCCGCGUGCGGGACGAAGGCC
This 384-nucleotide ribosomal RNA is filed under the name uncultured bacterium. RNAcentral describes it as "bacterial SSU rRNA". It matches the Rfam family "Bacterial small subunit ribosomal RNA", at positions 29 to 416 of the family's 1533-position model. The record is from RNAcentral.